This 296-nucleotide long non-coding RNA is filed under the name Trifolium pratense (red clover). Its description in RNAcentral is "long non-coding RNA (TPRA_LNC007162)". The record is from RNAcentral. Lineage: Eukaryota; Viridiplantae; Streptophyta; Magnoliopsida; Fabales; Fabaceae.
AUAUUUAAGACGGUAGGAAUUAUAUCCAAACAAAUUUCAGGUACCGGAGUUUAAAUAACUUAAUUAUUUUAUAUCUCAUGGAUCCAUAUUCCCUUCUUUCAAGGAAGAGAAUCCAAAUUAAAAACGAUACUAACAAGGUUAAGACACAAGAUAAAACAACAUUAACAAUUUAAGAAAAAAAACAUGCAUGACUUGGUUUGUUCACUAUUCUUACGAGCUGUCUCCAAAUACAUGCAAAUGUGGGUCCCCAAAUCCCCACACGCACCCUUCUAAACCGUUCAAUAUAUCCCUCACAA